CUAGCGAAACUGCCGGUGUAAACCGUGAGGAAGGUGGGAUGACGUCAAAUCAGCACGGCCCUUAUGUCCAGGGCUACACACGUGUUACAAUGGCCGGUACAGAGGGCAGCUACCUGGAGACAGGAUGCGAAUCUCCAAAGCCGGUCUCAGUUCGGAUCGGAGUCUGCAACUCGACUCCGUGAAGCUGGAUUCGCUAGUAAUCGCGCAUCAGCCAUGGCGCGGUGAAUACGUUCCCGGGCCUU
Molecule: ribosomal RNA, 242 nt
Filed under: uncultured Sphingobacteriales bacterium
Lineage: Bacteria; Pseudomonadati; Bacteroidota; Sphingobacteriia; Sphingobacteriales
Description: partial 16S ribosomal RNA
Rfam family: Bacterial small subunit ribosomal RNA
Source: RNAcentral